This is a long non-coding RNA of Myxocyprinus asiaticus (Chinese sucker), 472 nucleotides long. RefSeq lists it as uncharacterized. Lineage: Eukaryota; Metazoa; Chordata; Actinopteri; Cypriniformes; Catostomidae. The transcript has 2 exons. The record is from RefSeq and is a predicted model, not a curated record.
AGAAAAUGCAGUGGUCUCACAAUCUCAUUUCAUUUUUUCUCGUAGGAAGUUUGCAAAAGCUCAGGCCUUCUCUGAUGUCCAGUCAAAGGCAUUUUGGGGAGAAUCAGAUGACAGCAAUUCUGAGAUUGAAAUGGCCUUGCAUACUCUGUCCCGCAACACCAGUAGCAAUGACUUUGACAAUUUUUAUGAUUAAUGUUUCUCUAUUUAGAGUUCACACUGUCAAGUUUUUUUUUUUCAAUGAGUAAUUAAUAUGUUUCAGAGAGAUGCCUUUAUAUGAUUCAAAAGCAAACAAAAAUCUUCACAGAGGAAUGAGUGCGACAUUCCAUGAAAACAAAUAAGAGCGAUCCUCUUUAUUGUGGCCAAAGACUGUGAAGGGUUUUCAAAACAUGUCGGUGUUAACCCUGCUUGAAUCUCUUUAGCUGAACAACACUUGGACCUGGUUGAAAUAGAUUAAACUUUGUUUCUAAAGUGA